GAUCAUGGCUCAGGACGAACGCUGGCGGCGUGCUUAACACAUGCAAGUCGAACGGGAGUGUCAAAGAAGCUUGCUUUUAAGAUACUUUAGUGGCGGACGGGUGAGUAACGCGUGAGGAGCUGUCCUAUGCAGGGGGACAACAGUUGGAAACGGCUGCUAAUACCCCAUAAGCCGAGAGGUAAAAGGAUUAAUCCGGCAAAGGAGGCGCUCGCGUCCUAUCAGCUAGUAGGUUGGGUAACGGCCGACCUAGGCGAAGACGGGUAGCCGGCCUGAGAGGGCGAACGGCCACACUGGAACUGAGAUACGGUCCAGACUCCUACGGGAGGCAGCAGUGGGGAAUAUUGGGCAAAUGGGGGGAACCCUGACCCAGCGACGCCGCGUGGGUGAAGAAAUCCUUCGGGAUGUAAAGCCCUGUUGUAUGGGAAGAGUAGAAGACGGUACCAUACGAGGAAGCCCCGGCAAACUACGUGCCAGCCGCCGC
RNAcentral lists this ribosomal RNA (481 nucleotides) under uncultured bacterium. Its description in RNAcentral is "bacterial SSU rRNA". It matches the Rfam family "Bacterial small subunit ribosomal RNA", at positions 15 to 518 of the family's 1533-position model. The record is from RNAcentral.